GGGGGAUUAGCUCAGCUGGUAGAGCGCUUGCAUGGCAUGCAAGAGGUCAUCGGUUCGAAUCCGUUAUCCUCCA
Molecule: transfer RNA, 73 nt
Filed under: Bacteroidota bacterium
Lineage: Bacteria; Pseudomonadati; Bacteroidota
Also listed under: 3 other names
Description: Bacteroidetes bacterium tRNA-Ala
Rfam family: tRNA
About the family: Transfer RNA (tRNA) molecules are approximately 80 nucleotides in length. Their secondary structure includes four short double-helical elements and three loops (D, anti-codon, and T loops). Further hydrogen bonds mediate the characteristic L-shaped molecular structure. tRNAs have two regions of fundamental functional importance: the anti-codon, which is responsible for specific mRNA codon recognition, and the 3' end, to which the tRNAs corresponding amino acid is attached (by aminoacyl-tRNA synthetases). tRNAs cope with the degeneracy of the genetic code in two manners: having more than one tRNA (with a specific anti-codon) for a particular amino acid; and 'wobble' base-pairing, i.e. permitting non-standard base-pairing at the 3rd anti-codon position.
Source: RNAcentral